This 931-nucleotide ribosomal RNA is filed under the name uncultured bacterium. RNAcentral describes it as "bacterial SSU rRNA". It matches the Rfam family "Bacterial small subunit ribosomal RNA", at positions 93 to 1002 of the family's 1533-position model. The record is from RNAcentral.
GAGUGGCAAACGGGUGAGUAACACGUGGGUGACCUGCCUUCGAGUGGGGGAUAACGUCCCGAAAGGGACGCUAAUACCGCAUGACAUCCUGCCUUUGGAAAGGCGGAGAUCAAAGCUGGGGAUCGCAAGACCUGGCGCUUGAAGAGGGGCCCGCGCCUGAUUAGCUAGUUGGUGGGGUAAUGGCUCACCAAGGCGACGAUCAGUAUCCGGCCUGAGAGGGCGGACGGACACACUGGGACUGAGACACGGCCCAGACUCCUACGGGAGGCAGCAGUGGGGAAUUGUUCGCAAUGGGCGCAAGCCUGACGACGCAACGCCGCGUGGAGGAUGAAGAUCUUCGGGUCGUAAACUCCUGUCGAGCGGGAAGAACAGCUUUGGGGUGAAUAUCCCCGGGGCCUGACGGUACCGCUAAAGGAAGCCCCGGCUAACUCCGUGCCAGCAGCCGCGGUAAUACGGGGGGGGCAAGCGUUGUUCGGAAUUACUGGGCGUAAAGGGCUCGUAGGCGGCCAACUAAGUCAGACGUGAAAUCCCCAGGCUCAACCUGGGAACUGCGUCUGAUACUGAUUGGCUUGAAUCCGGGAGAGGGAUGCAGAAUUCCAGGUGUAGCGGUGAAAUGCGUAGAUAUCUGGAGGAAUACCGGUGGCGAAGGCGGCAUCCUGGACCGGCAUUGACGCUGAGGAGCGAAAGCCAGGGGAGCAAACGGGAUUAGAUACCCCGGUAGUCCUGGCCCUAAACGAUGAAUGCUUGGUGUGACGGGUAUCGAUCCCUGUCGUGCCGAAGCUAACGCAUUAAGCAUUCCGCCUGGGGAGUACGGUCGCAAGGCUGAAACUCGAAGGAAUUGACGGGGGCCCGCACAAGCGGUGGAGCAUGUGGUUCAAUUCGACGCAACGCGAAGAACCUUACCCAGGCUCGAACGGCAAUUGACAUCCGG